GUGUGGAGACAUGUAUCUAAUAAAGGCUAGCAUUAGACGUGUUUUCAUGUAACUGGUACUAGCACUAGCUACAGUAGCAAAAUCACUUUUUAGGUUUACUGUUGUUGAUCAAAACUUGCUGGUCAAGUAUCUUCCUGUUUGUAUUGUAAACCUCACGAUUAAACGUUACAUAACUGCACCUGAUGUAUACAAUUCUCCGUGUGCAUGUUAGUUCUUCUCGCUUUCUUUCUCUGACCUGGUAGCACCGUCAGGUAGGCACUCCUGAAGCUGUAGCCCAUGGUAUUGGCUCCCAGGCAGAUGUACAUGCCGGCAUCCUCCUCCUUGGCUCUGGUUAUCAGCAGCUUGUUGAGGUUCAACUCUUUUAAGCCACUGAAUAACCGGCUUGACGUCACUGCGGACUUUACACUGGAAAGAUGUGGUUCCUCCGUAGUCCACGGUGGUGUUGACAGGUUUUCUUUCUAACAGCUGUGAAUGACUGACAGCUGAGUGAAUCUCUACUGAUCGAGAAAAUGUCACAUUUGACAUAAGCGAGCAGUGGCUUGAUUUACUUCCUCUGUGACUGGACACUUCAACUGGGCAGAUUCUUCCUUGCAUUAAGCUUCACCCAGUCUUCAAAAGGAAAAAACAACUUAUCAAAGUUGAUUAAGGUGGCAUUGAUCUCUCCUGCUCUGUUUGAGACGUGGCAGGUGUACUUCCCGCUGUGCUCUGGCAUCAGGUUCUUCAGACUCAGGGUCCAUUUCUUCUUCUUCCCUUCCCCUCCUGCUCCACCGUCCUCGUCCAUCAGCGGCCGACUGUCCUUCAGCCAGACAAUGUCGGGGCGAGGGUUUCCGCUUGCUGUACACUUCAGACGCACUGAGCUACCCACUGGGCGAGCGAUGACGCGCUUCCUCAUCUUUGAUGGCUGGGUGAAACGUGGACGUACUGUAAGUGGAGAGAGGGUGAAAGGGAAAAUUUAAACCUAAUAACAAAGAAAUAUAGUAUUUUGAAACAAGUUGUAUUGGUAUUGAUUGCCUCUAAAAUAUGGAUGCUUAAUGUAGCGUUAGUCUGGAUACAAAUGUAAACCAAAAGAAUGUGUGUAAAUGUAAAGAGAUAAAUAACACAGAAACACUCUUUCACCCUCUCAGUCAGCGACAGGUGGGGAAAAAGAAGGGUAGGAAAAUAAAGGAAAGAACAGAAGAAGUUAUUGGCAGAGAAAUGGUUUACAGAGCAGUUUUAUAUUUACAAGCAGUGUUCUGUUCUUCAGACCAGUGGAAAGAGAACGGAUUGGGAAAGAAUGUGGAGUCUUAUAUGAGAUGUACAGAGCGAUCAAAGCCAGAGUAUUCAGAAAGGUUUUAUGCCUCAUGAGUUACAGUUUUUAUUAAGUCUUUACCUCCAAAAAAGUAACUCUUUUUGCUUUCAUUGAUUUUAAAAGAUAUUACUGUAUUUUACUUUGUUUUUUAUUUCAUUUAUUUGAAUUUAUAUUGCUCUAAAAACACUUUUGUCCAACUCCAUUGUUCUACCUCUUUGGAAUGCACUAGUCGAUUAGGCAACAAGCACAUUUUCAUCAUUUCAGAAAAUUCAAGAUGUCAGUAUGGAGACUGUGCAUUAUCCAUAGGGUUCCCUGAAAUGUUAGAAACUCUCACACAGAUAUUGUAGCUUGCUGCUUGGCUUUAUGAACACUGUUGUUUUAUGUUUUCAUUAACAAUUUUACAUUUUAUUGGUUGAAUCCUUUUUUAUGCAUGAAGACAUAUGCAGCAAACUAAUGUGAUUACAAUAAAAUUUUCUGCCCCAU
Micropterus dolomieu (smallmouth bass) is the source of this 1771-nucleotide long non-coding RNA. RefSeq lists it as uncharacterized. NCBI's taxonomy places the organism in Eukaryota, Metazoa, Chordata, Actinopteri, Centrarchiformes, Centrarchidae. The transcript has 5 exons. The record is from RefSeq and is a predicted model, not a curated record.